This 468-nucleotide ribosomal RNA is filed under the name uncultured bacterium. Its description in RNAcentral is "partial 16S ribosomal RNA". It matches the Rfam family "Bacterial small subunit ribosomal RNA", at positions 28 to 507 of the family's 1533-position model. The record is from RNAcentral.
GACGAACGCUGGCGGCGUGCUUAACACAUGCAAGUCGAACGGAAAGGCCCUGCUUUUGUGGGGUGCUCGAGUGGCGAACGGGUGAGUAACACGUGAGUAACCUGCCCUUGACUUUGGGAUAACUUCAGGAAACUGGGGCUAAUACCUGAUAGGAGCUCCUGCUGCAUGGUGGGGUUUGGAAAGUUUCGGCGGUUGGGGAUGGACUCGCGGCUUAUCAGCUUGUUGGUGGGGUAGUGGCUUACCAAGGCUUUGACGGGUAGCCGGCCUGAGAGGGUGACCGGCCACAUUGGGACUGAGAUACGGCCCAGACUCCUACGGGAGGCAGCAGUGGGGAAUAUUGCACAAUGGGCGGAAGCCUGAUGCAGAAACGCCGCGUGCGGGAUGACGGCCUUCGGGUUGUAAACCGCUUUCGCCUGUGACGAAGCGUGAGUGACGGUAAUGGGUAAAGAAGCACCGGCUAACUACGUG